CCCGGAAGUCGGUGGACGUGCCGCUCGCCAACCCGGUCAGGUCGGGAACGAAGCAGCCGUAACGAAUCCGGCGCGGGUCAUCGGCUUCCACCUCG
Molecule: signal recognition particle RNA, 95 nt
Filed under: Alphaproteobacteria bacterium
Lineage: Bacteria; Pseudomonadati; Pseudomonadota; Alphaproteobacteria
Description: signal recognition particle sRNA small type
Rfam family: Bacterial small signal recognition particle RNA
About the family: The signal recognition particle (SRP) is a universally conserved ribonucleoprotein involved in the co-translational targeting of proteins to membranes. Archaeal SRP consists of a 7S RNA and homologues of the eukaryotic SRP19 and SRP54 proteins.
Source: RNAcentral